This is a long non-coding RNA of Panthera uncia (snow leopard), 939 nucleotides long. RefSeq lists it as uncharacterized. Lineage: Eukaryota; Metazoa; Chordata; Mammalia; Carnivora; Felidae. The transcript is spliced from 4 exons. The record is from RefSeq and is a predicted model, not a curated record.
AGACUGUGGGUGAUUGUCUCCCAUGCUUGGAUGCUCAGUCUCAGGCCUUGGUAUUUGGCAGAAUUCACUGAUUUUUCAGAAUGUUGGAAAGUGCCCACAACUGGUGCUAACUUAUUUUUUGUCACUUCAAAGCACCUAGGGACAGUCCUUUGCUUUUCAUAGAAGGCUGAGCUUAGGAAUGCUUUGCUUCAUUCUAGGUCAAGCUGUCUGCAGAUACAGACCUUUUCCUCUGUUGCCUUAUUGCCAGUUAUAUUAAAUAGAGUAUAUGACAAGAGUUUAUUAAUACUGUACUGUAGUCAACUUCUGUUAGUGACAGUGAAAGUCGUCCUACACAAUAACCCUCCUCUCUGUCGUCUCCCUCACACCAACCACGAAGGUUUUCAAAGGGCUUUAUUUUUGGACUUGAGUGCGGUAAUUGAAGAUUUCUGCUUCUGGCUAUGAUGGAUUAGUUUGCAGCUGACCAAACUGAAAGCCAAGAACACAAGAAAUGGUAAAUACAAUGAGAACACAUUUUUGAAGUUACCAGAGAGUUAUCAAGGCAGUUAGAACGCGUACAGCCAAGAACCUGGAGAGAAGGAAAACACAUUGGAGGACAAGCGAGGACCUAAAUAAGACACGUACCUGGUGCGUUUUAUGAAAUGCCACAAACGUGACUCAGAACCAAAGCGGAUCGAUCGCCUUACGUGUGUGCAGAUGGCAGUGGAAUUCUAGUCAUGAACCUUCUGGCCUCCUUGGGAAAGAGCCUGAGCUGGCCCGCUGGGGUAUGAGAGGGAGAAGCGUAGCCAGACCACCCGUGGGAGGAGAGAUGCCUCGCUGACCCAUAGGUGCUCUACACAGAAGAGAGAGGCCAUCUGAGACCAGAGAGCUGCCCAGCUGGCCUGUAGACUAGGUAAGCAGUAACAAAGUAUUCUUGUUUUAUGUUUUUUAAUAUUUAUUUAU